UCUGGCGGCAGUAGCGCGGUGGUCCCACCUGACCCCAUGCCGAACUCAGAAGUGAAACGACGUAGCGCCGAUGGUAGUGUGGGGUCUCCCCAUGCGAGAGUAGGGAACUGCCAGAC
RNAcentral lists this ribosomal RNA (116 nucleotides) under Escherichia coli. RNAcentral also lists the same sequence under 1 other name. The record is from RNAcentral. Lineage: Bacteria; Pseudomonadati; Pseudomonadota; Gammaproteobacteria; Enterobacterales; Enterobacteriaceae.